CGCGUAGGCGGCUUUUCAAGUCGGGGGUGAAAGCCUGUGGCUCAACCACAGAAUUGCCUUCGAUACUGUUAGGCUUGAGACCGGAAGAGGUGAGUGGAACUGCGAGUGUAGAGGUGAAAUUCGUAGAUAUUCGCAAGAACACCAGUGGCGAAGGCGGCUCACUGGUCCGGUUCUGACGCUGAGGCGCGAAAGCGUGGGGAGCAAACA
RNAcentral lists this ribosomal RNA (207 nucleotides) under uncultured bacterium. RNAcentral's name for it is "partial 16S ribosomal RNA". It matches the Rfam family "Bacterial small subunit ribosomal RNA", at positions 568 to 774 of the family's 1533-position model. The record is from RNAcentral.